CCUACGGGCGGCAGCAGUGAGGAAUAUUGGUCAAUGGACGAGAGUCUGAACCAGCCAAGUAGCGUGAAGGAUGACUGCCCUAUGGGUUGUAAACUUCUUUUAUAAAGGAAUAAAACGAGGCACGUGUGCCUUUUUGCAUGUACUUUAUGAAUAAGGAUCGGCUAACUCCGUGCCAGCAGCCGCGGUAAUACGGAGGAUCCGAGCGUUAUCCGGAUUUAUUGGGUUUAAAGGGAGCGUAGAUGGGUUGUUAAGUCAGUUGUGAAAGUUUGCGGCUCAACCGUAAAAUUGCAAUUGAUACUGGCAGUCUUGAGUACAGUUGAGUUAAGCGGAAUUCGUGGGGUAGCGGUUAAAUGCUUAGAUAUCACGAAGAACCCCGAUUGCGAAGGCAGCUUACUAAACUGUGACUGACAUUGAUGCUCGAAAGUGUGGGGAUCAAACAGGAUUAGAUACCCCGAGUAGUC
This 461-nucleotide ribosomal RNA is filed under the name uncultured bacterium. RNAcentral's name for it is "partial 16S ribosomal RNA". It matches the Rfam family "Bacterial small subunit ribosomal RNA", at positions 338 to 795 of the family's 1533-position model. The record is from RNAcentral.